Pelobates cultripes (western spadefoot toad) is the source of this 229-nucleotide non-coding RNA. The record is from the annotation of a GenBank genome assembly. Lineage: Eukaryota; Metazoa; Chordata; Amphibia; Anura; Pelobatidae.
GGGAUUCAUUUAUAGACGUUUAACAUUUCAUUGGUUUGGAGGACCCUGAAUUUAUUCCAGCUAUAUUUUGCUAUAUGUAAACUAUAUGGAUACCUUUUUUCAUAUACACUGCUACACUCUUUAGUAGCUAUAUCUUUUGCUACUUUGUAAGUGAGAUAAUCUACUCAUCUAGUAUCAAGUUUACUAAUUUGUAUCUAUUUAAACUGGAACAUUUUCCCUUGGUGUCCCU